RNAcentral lists this ribosomal RNA (438 nucleotides) under uncultured Vexilliferidae. Its description in RNAcentral is "partial Bacterial large subunit ribosomal RNA". It matches the Rfam family "Bacterial large subunit ribosomal RNA", at positions 1437 to 1876 of the family's 2925-position model. The record is from RNAcentral. Lineage: Eukaryota; Discosea; Flabellinia; Dactylopodida; Vexilliferidae.
UCCCGUACUUCUAGUUACUGCGAUGGAGGGACGGAGAAGGCUAGGCCAGCACGGCGUUGGUUGUCCGUGUUUAAGGUUGUAGGCUGAGUGCUUAGGUAAAUCCGGGCGCUUAAGGCCGAGAGCUGAUGACGAGUGUUCUUUAGAACGCGAAGUGGUUGAUGCCAUGCUUCCAGGAAAAGCUUCUAAGCUUCAGGUAACUAGAAAUCGUACCCCAAACCGACACAGGUGGUCAGGUAGAGCAUACCAAGGCGCUUGAGAGAACUAUGUUGAAGGAACUCGGCAAAUUACCUCCGUAACUUCGGGAGAAGGAGGCCUCAAUCUGGGCAACCAGGUCUGAGGGGCACAAAACUGGGGGUUGCGACUGUUUAUCAAAAACACAGGGCUCUGCGAAGUCGCAAGACGACGUAUAGGGUCUGACGCCUGCCCGGUGCCGGAAGG